AUGUAUCUAAGUCGUGCCUCGACACGUGGGAGCUAUAGUCGCAUCGAGGGUGUUAUAUGUGCCCACCAGGGGAAGCUUCCUAGAAGUUUCUUUAUUUCCAAAAAAUUUAAAUAUUCCAAAACUGAUAAAAAAUAUGUUUGCAGAUUUUUCGGAGUCCCACUACUGGUUGGAAUAACUUCUACCCAUUUAGUAACAUAA
Molecule: ribosomal RNA, 198 nt
Filed under: Triticum aestivum (bread wheat)
Lineage: Eukaryota; Viridiplantae; Streptophyta; Magnoliopsida; Poales; Poaceae
Description: partial small subunit ribosomal RNA
Source: RNAcentral